GGAGUGUAUAUUCCAACACUCCUCGCUCCACAAUUUCUUUUCUUUAUCUUUGGAAAUUUACUUGCGAUGGAUCGUCUUCAGCAGGAAAUUGACGAGAUGUCCAUUUUAAGAAUCUUACUUGAUUGCUUUAUUCAGUUUUUGCUGAUAUCGUUGGUGGAUCUUGCGCUAAUUAUUCUUCAAUGGGAGAUGUGUUUGCUAGGGCUAUGGUUGAUUGUAUUGGCUAUCCACCGAUUUGUCUCAAACGCAUUUUCUAUGAUUAUGGAUUGUCACCUAGUUUAUUGAUGGACCAAUCUAUUGGUGCAUCAUCUAGUUUUUGAAUGAGUCCAGAAACAGGACGUCUAGUGUCUAAGUCCCUACCGUAGUCGGCAUCAACAUAACUCACUAAUGUGAGUUUAUUUCUGUGUGGAAACAAUAUUCCAACGUUGUCUAUCCCUCGAAGACGGAUGCUGGAGCUUUUAGGUGUGCGGAUUGAGUUACAAUGAGCCAUCUGGCUCUUUCAAAUAUUGUCCUGUUUUGCCGUUCCGCGAUCCCGUUCUGUUUAGGAGUAUGUGGUUGAGAUAAUUGCCUCCCGAUUCAGAUUACAGAAUUCUUGGAAUUCACGAGACAUGAAUUCCCCCCCCACUUAGUCCCAUUUCUGUUUCUACUAGUGCUUUAAAGUUUUGAAUGUGGAUAGUGUCUCGGAUUUUGCUUGCAUGAACAAGACCUAGGAUCUUCUUGAGUAAUCGUUUGAAACCAGCAGGUUGUUUCUAGAUCCAAGCCACAAAGGAGUCGGCAUUGGACCUACAGAGUCUGCUUGUAGGAGUUGUAGAAUUCUCGAGGUUGGAGUGAGGGAUUUCUUUGGGAACCUUUCACGGUGUUUAUCUUCCAGCCAAACACUGUGCACAUACGGUUUUGAUCUGGUUGAGUAUUAUCAUACUUGUUACUUUGUUGUGACGUGAUAAAUAGUUGAGGCUGUUAUAGUUUAGAUGCCCGAAUCUUUGAUGCCAUAGUUUGAUUAAUUUUGAGUCGCUACUUGGUGUUGUGUUACUUGAUACAAAUUCAGUUGCUUGUUUGAUUGUGUAAGGAGAAUGUAGAUCUUGUAUAAUCCAUUUUUUUUUUUUUUUAUCACUAUGUCCAGCCAAGGUGAGUUUGUUCCUUUGAUUCACAAUCCAACAUUGCUUGUUAGAGAAAGCUACUACUUUUUCAUUUUUUGUUAGACAUCCUAUAGAAAUCAGAUUCUUUUUGAGGUUGAGCACGUAAAGAACCUCAUUGAGCUUUAUUUCUCCUUCUGUAGUACAUAGAGUGACACUGCCAGUGCCUUCUAUUAUGUGUUUCUCGCCACUUGCUUUAAUAACAGUUCCAUGAUUUUCUAAUGUG
This is a non-coding RNA of Physcomitrium patens, 1356 nucleotides long. The record is from RefSeq and is a predicted model, not a curated record. NCBI's taxonomy places the organism in Eukaryota, Viridiplantae, Streptophyta, Bryopsida, Funariales, Funariaceae.